AUUGAACGCUGGCGGCAUGCCUUACACAUGCAAGUCGAACGGCAGCACGGGUGCUUGCACCUGGUGGCGAGUGGCGAACGGGUGAGUAAUACAUCGGAACAUGUCCUGUAGUGGGGGAUAGCCCGGCGAAAGCCGGAUUAAUACCGCAUACGAUCUACGGAUGAAAGCGGGGGACCUUCGGACCUCGCGCUAUAGGGUUGGCCGAUGGCUGAUUAGCUAGUUGGUGGGGUAAAGGCCUACCAAGGCGACGAUCAGUAGCUGGUCUGAGAGGACGACCAGCCACACUGGGACUGAGACACGGCCCAGACUCCUACGGGAGGCAGCAGUGGGGAAUUUUGGACAAAGGGCGAAAGCCUGAUCCAGCAAUGCCGCGUGUGUGAAGAAGGCCUUCGGGUUGUAAAGCACUUUUGUCCGGAAAGAAAUCCUUGGCCCUAAUACGGUCGGGGGAUGACGGUACCGGAAGAAUAAGCACCGGCUAACUACGUG
Molecule: ribosomal RNA, 486 nt
Filed under: uncultured bacterium
Lineage: Bacteria
Description: partial 16S ribosomal RNA
Rfam family: Bacterial small subunit ribosomal RNA
Source: RNAcentral